AGGUACAUCAGGUAGCUUGGAUUCAAGUGAAUUCCAUUUGGUGCCUGGAAGAUCUGAUUGAGGACUUGAUCUUUUCAAAAUUUUGUAGGAUAAAAUUAUCAACUGGUUGGAUCAGGAAACUGGUAUAUUCAUUAUAUGUCUGGCACUUAGAUUUUUCUUAUACAAAGGUUUUCAUGUCACCGGGCAGGGUGAGAUUGAGCUUGGACUUCUGAGAGUUGUGUGUUCUGCUGCCAGAGUAUAUCUAUACCUCUCCAUCAAUUGGAUGAUUAGUUUGCAAGGAAAUCAAAUUUAAUGGAUGUUAAUCAAGUCCUGUGAUUUUGUAAGAGCUUUGUUCACCAACUAGACUACAGAGACAUCAACUGGAAACUUAAUGCGACCAUGUGGUAAUCUGUUGGGUGGUAGAAUGAUAUCGAACUUGAAGGAUAGCAACUGUCAGACCAAUUGAAGACACAAAGGAUGCAAAAGGGACCAGCUGUAUGGUUAUCUAACUACCAAUUAUUUUACUAAUU
Dioscorea cayenensis subsp. rotundata (Guinea yam) is the source of this 509-nucleotide long non-coding RNA. RefSeq lists it as uncharacterized. The transcript has 3 exons. Lineage: Eukaryota; Viridiplantae; Streptophyta; Magnoliopsida; Dioscoreales; Dioscoreaceae. The record is from RefSeq and is a predicted model, not a curated record.